This 149-nucleotide small nucleolar RNA is filed under the name Mola mola (ocean sunfish). Lineage: Eukaryota; Metazoa; Chordata; Actinopteri; Tetraodontiformes; Molidae. The record is from RNAcentral.
CUUCAGUGAUGAUACGAUGACGAGACAGAAUAGCACUGUCUGGCUCUUGUGGCGCCUGGUUCAGGGCUAUGUUUUGUAGUUCUGUCUCAGUUCCCAAGAGCUGGAAGUCCUGUUCAAAUGAAGACAAAAGAGGCAUUUGUCUGAGAAGG